This 253-nucleotide ribosomal RNA is filed under the name uncultured bacterium. RNAcentral describes it as "partial 16S ribosomal RNA". It matches the Rfam family "Bacterial small subunit ribosomal RNA", at positions 524 to 776 of the family's 1533-position model. The record is from RNAcentral.
UACAGGGGGGGCCAGCGUUAUUCGGAAUUAUUGGGCGUAAAGGGCGCGUAGGCGGCCAUGCGUGUCUUCCGUGAAAUCCCUCGGCUUAACCGAGGACGUGCGGAAGAAACUGCAAGGCUCGAGUCCGGAAGAGGGGGGCGGAAUUCCCAGUGUAGCGGUGAAAUGCGUAGAUAUUGGGAGGAACACCAGUGGCGAAGGCGGUCCCCUGGGCCGGAACUGACGCUGAGGCGCGAAAGCGUGGGGAUCAAACAGG